Lemur catta (Ring-tailed lemur) is the source of this 137-nucleotide long non-coding RNA. RefSeq lists it as uncharacterized. The transcript is spliced from 3 exons. The record is from RefSeq and is a predicted model, not a curated record. NCBI's taxonomy places the organism in Eukaryota, Metazoa, Chordata, Mammalia, Primates, Lemuridae.
GCCGGGCAACAAUCACAUAGACAGGAGCCCAACAAUCACCGUAUGCUUUAAAAGCACAGCAUGGCUGUUUACACCAAUGGAGGACAACUUACUGUAACCAGGCAGGGUUGUGCCCUGUCACCCAGACUGGAGUCCAG